UGGACCCCAGGUGAGGCCCCGGGCGUGGCCCAGGUGUGUCCAGGUGUGCCCAGGUGUGCUCAGGUGUUCCCCAGGUGUGCCCAGGUGUGUCCCCAGGUGUGUCCAGGUGUGCUCAGGUGUGUCCAGGUGUGCCCAGGUGUCCCCAGGUGUCCCCAGGUGUCCCCAGGUGUAUCCCAGGUGUGUCCAGGUGUGCCCAGGUGUGCCCAGGUGUGUCCAGGUGUGCCCAGAUGUGUCCCCAGGUGUGUCCAGGUGUGUCCAGGUGUCCCCAGGUGUGUCCAGGUGUAUCUCAGGUGUCCCCAGGUGUGUCCAGGUGUCCCCAGGUGUCCCCAGGUGUC
RNAcentral lists this long non-coding RNA (335 nucleotides) under Parus major (Great Tit). Its description in RNAcentral is "lncRNA (ENSPMJG00000002493.1)". Lineage: Eukaryota; Metazoa; Chordata; Aves; Passeriformes; Paridae. The record is from RNAcentral.